UGGGGAAUAUUGCACAAUGGGCGCAAGCCUGAUGCAGCCAUGCCGCGUGUGUGAAGGAGGCCUUCGGGUUGUAAAGCACUUUCAGCGAGGAGGAAGGUGGUGAGCUUAAUACGCUCAUCAAUUGACGUUACUCGCAGAAGAAGCACCGGCUAACUCCGUGCCAGCAGCCGCGGUAAUACGGAGGGUGCAAGCGUUAAUCGGAAUUACUGGGCGUAAAGCGCACGCAGGCGGUUUGUUAAGUCAGAUGUGAAAUCCCCGGGCUCAACCUGGGAACUGCAUUUGAAACUGGCAAGCUAGAGUCUCGUAGAGGGGGGUAGAAUUCCAGGUGUAGCGGUGAAAUGCGUAGAGAUCUGGAGGAAUACCGGUGGCGAAGGCGGCCCCCUGGACGAAGACUGACGCUCAGGUGCGAAAGCGUGGGGCAGCAAACAGGAUUAGAUACCCUGGUAGUCCAGCGCUGUAAACGAUGUCGAUUUGGAGGUUGUGCCCUUGAGGCGUGGCUUCCGGAGCUAACGCGUUAAAUCGACCGCCUGGGGAGUACGGCCGCAAGGUUAAAACUCAAAUGAAUUGAC
This 569-nucleotide ribosomal RNA is filed under the name uncultured bacterium. RNAcentral's name for it is "partial 16S ribosomal RNA". It matches the Rfam family "Bacterial small subunit ribosomal RNA", at positions 355 to 914 of the family's 1533-position model. The record is from RNAcentral.